Molecule: ribosomal RNA, 563 nt
Filed under: uncultured bacterium
Lineage: Bacteria
Description: bacterial SSU rRNA
Rfam family: Bacterial small subunit ribosomal RNA
Source: RNAcentral
CCUACGGGAGGCAGCAGCAAGGGAUAUUGCGCAAUGGGCGAAAGCCUGACGCAGCGACGCCGCGUGAGGGACGAAGGCCUUCGGGUCGUAAACCUCUUUUCUUGGUGAAGAGUAAGGACGGUAAUCAAGGAAUAAGCCCCGGCUAACUACGUGCCAGCAGCCGCGGUAAUACGUAGGGGGCGAGCGUUAUCCGGAUUCACUGGGCGUAAAGAGCGUGUAGGCGGCUUCCAAAGUUGGCAGUGAAAGGUCCUGGCUUAACUGGGAUAUGCCUGCCAAUACUGGGGAGCUAGAGGGCAGCAGAGGAAAGUGGAACUCGCGGUGUAGCGGUGAAAUGUGUAGAUAUCGCGAGGAACACCAGUGGCGAAGGCGGCUUUCUGGGCUGUUCCUGACGCUGAGACGCGAAAGCGUGGGGAGUGAAGCGGAUUAGAUACCCGCGUAAUCCACGCCUUAAACGGUGGAUACUAGGUAUGGGGGGUAUCGACCCUCUCCGUGCCGAAGCUAACGCCUUAAGUAUCCCGCCUGGGGACUACGGCCGCAAGGCUAAAACUCAAAGGAAUUGACGG